Molecule: long non-coding RNA, 211 nt
Filed under: Lathyrus oleraceus (garden pea)
Lineage: Eukaryota; Viridiplantae; Streptophyta; Magnoliopsida; Fabales; Fabaceae
Description: Pisum sativum (pea) long non-coding RNA (PSAT_LNC028695)
Source: RNAcentral
UCAGGCAUGAACUUAACCCUUGAAGUUGACAUUUCACAAACGAAAGAAUAAAAAAGAUUUUGGUUGCUUCAGUGUUUUAGCUUGGAUGAGCCUAGUUGGCUUUGAAGAUUCUUGCCCAGUUGCAUCUCACUCUAUAGUCGAGUUGUACAUACACGGUUUGUACAAUUAACAGAAACUAUUUUUGCAUAAAGACUUAGGAGUCCCUAUCUUC